This 314-nucleotide long non-coding RNA is filed under the name Ananas comosus (pineapple). RNAcentral's name for it is "long non-coding RNA (ACOM_LNC030762)". The record is from RNAcentral. Lineage: Eukaryota; Viridiplantae; Streptophyta; Magnoliopsida; Poales; Bromeliaceae.
GACAAAGCUAACUUCUAUAAAGAAUACAUGUCGAUAUGACCAACAUUAGCAUAGUAGAAUAUCAGGAGAUAUUAUAAUUAAAAAAAGUUAUCCAGUCAUUAAUUUACAGAAUAGAUUAUCAAAUCUCAAAAUUCUUUUGGUAAUAGAACUUAUCAAUCAAAACUAAAACUCAUUUUUCAUAAAUGUGUGAUAAUAUAUUUAACCCUUAAUUUUAAAAUCUAUAAAAUAGAAAGUUUCAUACAAUCAGAAUAUUUUUCUAUAUUUUACGAAAAAGUAACGGAAAUCCGGUCGUUUACCUCAAAAGCAGUUUCUAA